GAUCAUGGCUCAGAUUGAACGCUGGCGGCAGGCUUAACACAUGCAAGUCGAACGGUAACAGGAAGAAAGCUUGCUUUCUUUGCUGACGAGUGGCGGACGGGUGAGUAAUGCUUGGGAAUCUGGCUUAUGGAGGGGGAUAACUACGGGAAACUGUAGCUAAUACCGCGUAAUAUCGAGAGAUUAAAGGGUGGGACCGCAAGGCCACCUGCCAUGAGAUGAGCCCAAGUGGGAUUAGGUAGUUGGUG
This 245-nucleotide ribosomal RNA is filed under the name uncultured bacterium. RNAcentral's name for it is "partial 16S ribosomal RNA". It matches the Rfam family "Bacterial small subunit ribosomal RNA", at positions 15 to 254 of the family's 1533-position model. The record is from RNAcentral.